This 75-nucleotide transfer RNA is filed under the name Candidatus Moraniibacteriota bacterium. RNAcentral's name for it is "Candidatus Moranbacteria bacterium (hot springs metagenome) tRNA-Arg". It matches the Rfam family "tRNA". Rfam says of the family: Transfer RNA (tRNA) molecules are approximately 80 nucleotides in length. Their secondary structure includes four short double-helical elements and three loops (D, anti-codon, and T loops). Further hydrogen bonds mediate the characteristic L-shaped molecular structure. tRNAs have two regions of fundamental functional importance: the anti-codon, which is responsible for specific mRNA codon recognition, and the 3' end, to which the tRNAs corresponding amino acid is attached (by aminoacyl-tRNA synthetases). tRNAs cope with the degeneracy of the genetic code in two manners: having more than one tRNA (with a specific anti-codon) for a particular amino acid; and 'wobble' base-pairing, i.e. permitting non-standard base-pairing at the 3rd anti-codon position. Lineage: Bacteria; Candidatus Moraniibacteriota. The record is from RNAcentral.
GCCCCCGUAGUUCAAUGGAUAGAACAAGGGACUCCUAAGCCUUAGAUCCAUGUUCGACUCAUGGCGGGGGCGCAA